CCUACGGGAGGCAGCAGUGGGGAAUAUUGGGCAAUGGGCGCAAGCCUGACCCAGCAACGCCGCGUGAAGGAAGAAGGCUCUCGGGUUGUAAACUUCUUUUAUCAGGGACGCAGCAAGUGACGGUACCUGAUGAAUAAGCCACGGCUAACGACGUGCCAGCAGCCGACGGAAUACGGAGGGGGCAAGCGUUAUCCGGAUUUACUGGGUGUAAAGGGCGUGUAGGCGGGAAAGCAAGUCCGAUGUGAAAACGAUGGGCUCAAACUGUGGCCUGCAGUUGAAACUGGUGAUCUUGAGUAGGGGAGAGGUAUGCGGAAUUCCUGGUGUAGCGGUGAAAUGCGUAGAUAUUAGGAAGAACACC
This 358-nucleotide ribosomal RNA is filed under the name uncultured bacterium. RNAcentral describes it as "partial 16S ribosomal RNA". It matches the Rfam family "Bacterial small subunit ribosomal RNA", at positions 338 to 710 of the family's 1533-position model. The record is from RNAcentral.